Molecule: long non-coding RNA, 318 nt
Filed under: Mus spicilegus (steppe mouse)
Lineage: Eukaryota; Metazoa; Chordata; Mammalia; Rodentia; Muridae
Description: lncRNA (ENSMSIG00000015005.1)
Source: RNAcentral
UUAGCCGAAAGGACCAGCGUGGCGUUCCUCACCCCACCGCCACCCCACCCCUGAGCGGGGAGGGCUGGCGGCCAUGUUUCCCAACAAAAUGGCGACACGUGUCGCCAUCGAAAAAUUGUGCCGGGUCUGAAAGCUCUAGAAUGUGCCUUUCAUCAGUCUCAGAAUUUCCCAUAGGAUGAAACAGCAAGAGAGCAAGACAAUCCCAGAGAGAUGAAGUGAAUGACCCAAGGUUACACAGGAUGGAACCUAUAUCUUCUGAUUUCUCUACUGACCUGCACUCCACAUUCUGAGGAGGAGUCCUUGAAGCUACUGAGAUAA